AUGCACGCUGGCGGCGUGCCUAAUACAUGCCAGUCGAGCGAACAGACGAGGAGCUUGCUCCUCUGACGUUAGCGGCGGACGGGUGAGUAACACGUGGAUAACCUACCUAUAAGACUGGGAUAACUUCGGGAAACCGGAGCUAAUACCGGAUAAUAUAUUGAACCGCAUGGUUCAAUAGUUAAAGACGGUUUUGCUGUCACUUAUAGAUGGAUCCGCGCCGCAUUAGCUAGUUGGUAAGGUAACGGCUUACCAAGGCAACGAUGCGUAGCCGACCUGAGAGGGUGAUCGGCCACACUGGAACUGAGACACGGUCCAGACUCCUACGGGAGGCAGCAGUAGGGAAUCUUCCGCAAUGGGCGAAAGCCUGACGGAGCAACGCCGCGUGAGUGAUGAAGGUCUUCGGAUCGUAAAACUCUGUUAUUAGGGAAGAACAAAUGUGUAAGUAACUAUGCACGUCUUGACGGUACCUAAUCAGAAAGCCACGGCUAACUACGUG
This 496-nucleotide ribosomal RNA is filed under the name uncultured bacterium. Its description in RNAcentral is "partial 16S ribosomal RNA". It matches the Rfam family "Bacterial small subunit ribosomal RNA", at positions 29 to 507 of the family's 1533-position model. The record is from RNAcentral.